ACCAGCUCUGUAGGUCAGAAGUUAAAGCUCAGUGGGCUUCUGUGCUCAGGGUCUCACAAGGCUGAAACCAAGGUUUCAGUUAGGUCGGGAUCUUACCUGGAGGCUCUGGAAAGAUUUUACCCCCAAGCUCAUUCAGUAUAUUCUUGCGGCCCUGCCACCAGAUGAAAGGAAGAGCAUGAAAGCACCAGCAGAUCCGGGGCCCUGCCUUUCCAGCUUUAACAUGCCAACAAACGUGGACGGGGCGCUCGGCUGACGGAGGCAUCUGUUGUUCCUGUGCACCGGCUUCAGCUGGGAGCGGCUGAGAACAACAGGUCCACAGGAAGCAGCCAAGUGGAGAAAGUCCCAGAGAAGUGAGAAAAAGCCAGGCUCAGGAUGUGCUCAGAGAAGGCAAUGGCAACCCACUCCA
Long non-coding RNA from Bos taurus (domestic cattle), 406 nucleotides. NCBI's taxonomy places the organism in Eukaryota, Metazoa, Chordata, Mammalia, Artiodactyla, Bovidae. The record is from Ensembl.